AUUGUGGUUACAAGCGCCAUGUUAGCGGAUAUAGCUCUUUGUUUACAUGCCGAGUUGAUCAGAAGUCACGUCUGCACACACGUCUUGCUUUGCUUCCCUUUUUUUUGUGUUGGUAAAAUGGUUCGCUCAUGCUGCGUGAAUAAUUGCCAUAGUAAGUCCCACGACUUGAAUUGUAAAAAACUCAACAACCAGUUACGGUUUUUUAGGUUUCCCUUAUGGAAAAAGCGCUUUGGGACACAAGCAGAGGAUAUAUCCAAGAGGAGGCGGAUGGCCUGGGUUAAAGCGGUGAACCGGAAAUCCAUCACCUUCGCCAGUGUAUCUAAGUACAUGCUUGUUUGCUCUCGACACUUUCAUAAGGGCGAACCUGCUUAUGAAAUGAGGGAGACUGAUCCAGACUGGGCACCAUCUCUACAUAUGGGCCACACAGACAGUACGCAGAGAUACGGCCGGCAAACAGCUGAUAUGGAUGUCAAUCAGGCUGAAGAAAACCAUCAGUAUCCCAAUGAGGGGGAAGCAAAUGAAGCUGGAAGAAGGGAUCCACUACAGACUGAGAACUUGGCUCAGGCGUCCACAGAAAGUGUCCAAGAGGGCACCGAAGAUGGCGACCCUGGAGAAAGUGGCCAGGAAAACACUGAGGAAGGAACCCACAACACCAGCCGGGAGGUGGCAGAUUUUCAAUGUAAUCUGAACCUGAAUGUACGACCAGAAAAUAUACGAAUUGUAAAAUUUGAGUUUUAUUAAUCACAACGCUCGGGGUGAAUUUUAAGAUGCAUUCUUCGAGACGGACUGUUUAAAUCAUAACUUUCACAAAAAGAUUAAUUUGUGUUUACAGGCUUUGUGAGUUCAUGAAAGCCAGCGAAGCUUUGCUGAUACUGGUUCAAAAUGUUGGCUCUCCUAUGGCACCACCUGCUGGAGUGAAAAUGCCCAAGACAAACAUGCUACACAAAAGACAUCAGGCAAUCUAAUGAUCUAUUUGAUCAACGAUGCAAAUAAGAGAAGAAUAGAUCUAUUAGGAGACACACUGGUUGUAGGUUGAAAUAAGACAAAAAGGCUUUUUGUAUGUGGUUAAAAACUUUUGCACAAGACAGAAAAAGCUUCAUAGAAAGUUCAGAUGAGAGGAAAUCUGAGUCCUAUUAAUUUAAAUACUACAAUGAAGUGUUGUAGUACUCGAACCGGUCUCAAGACCACUUUUUGAAGGUCUUGUUCUUGUCUCUGAAUCGAAAGCAUUUUAACUCGGCCUUGUCCCGGUCUCAGACUGGGCAGACUCUGGAUUUGAAAUCAAGACCACCACUGAAAGGCUUUUUUUUUCCAAGUCAUUGCUGUGAUUAGAAGAAAAAUGCCAGUUUCACUGACAUUUAUGGUCUUGUCUCAGUCCUGUCUUUGUCUUGGUUCGGUCUUGAUCCAUAAAUGUCCUGGUCUUGUCUCGGUCUCGCCCUGCCUUGGUCUUGGUCUUGACUCUCUCUAAAUGUCUUGGUCUUAUCUCGGUCUCUGAGCACCCUGGUCUCGGUUAUGUGGUCUUGACACACUAUCAGAUGUUAAAGAUUCUUACCUGAGCAAAGAGAAAACACUGUAGGAGUUCCUGACUGAACUCUGGUCGACCUGGAGCAGACUGUUUUUCUUCCGCUCCGACUGAUCCUGAAACAGCCACAUGUCAGUGUUGAAUAUGAGGCUAAUGAGAUUAACAAUGGAUAGCUCAUAAUGAUGCAGAUGCUCUGAAAGAUUGACCACAGGCCGUACCUUAUGAUCAAAGUCAGCUGCAUAGUAGCCAUCAUUCAAACCAAAGAUGAUCUCAUUUGGGUUUCUGGAUCGAAUCUGUGGACAAAGCGAGGCAGCAGAGAAUCAUUGCAGAGAACAAAGGACAGCGGGAAUCUGGAUGUGCAUGAGACGCUGCUAUCUGUUUAUGAGCUUUGAAAAUGGUCUCACUGUGAAGGAAUGGCAAUAACCCUGACUUCUUCUACAGCAUUCACAUUUUCAUGGACUUGUUUCUCAGAACAGAGCUUCAAUGUGCAGAAUUUAGGCUUAAAGGAGAUAAUUAAUCCUUUAAACACUCACAUGCAGAAAGAAUUAAAAGUCAAAAUCACAUGUUCAUUCUUCACACUGCAGACUGUUAGGAUGGUUUUAAUGUUUGUAACUGAUGGUUCACAUCUCUGAAUCAGUGCAAUGUGUGUGCUCUCAUUAUAACAUCAUCAACCUGGUAUGCUGCAUCGCUACGUGAUUGCUUAUAACUGCCAUUUAUUUCAAAUGUGAGGAAAUAGACUAGAAAAAUAAACCUUGUAAUGAA
This is a long non-coding RNA of Labrus bergylta (ballan wrasse), 2281 nucleotides long. RefSeq lists it as uncharacterized. The record is from RefSeq and is a predicted model, not a curated record. NCBI's taxonomy places the organism in Eukaryota, Metazoa, Chordata, Actinopteri, Labriformes, Labridae.